UACGUAGGGGGCUAGCGUUGUCCGGAAUCAUUGGGCGUAAAGCGCGUGUAGGCGGCCCGGUAAGUCCGCUGUGAAAGUCGGGGGCUCAACCCUCGAAAGCCGGUGGAUACUGUCGGGCUCGAGUACGGAAGAGGCGAGUGGAAUUCCUGGCGUAGCGGUGAAAUGCGCAGAUAUCAGGAGGAACACCGAGUGCGAAGGCAGCUCGCUGGGACGUUACUGACGCUGAGACGCGAAAGCGUGGGGAGCAAGCAGG
This 253-nucleotide ribosomal RNA is filed under the name uncultured bacterium. Its description in RNAcentral is "partial 16S ribosomal RNA". It matches the Rfam family "Bacterial small subunit ribosomal RNA", at positions 524 to 776 of the family's 1533-position model. The record is from RNAcentral.